UUCCCCUAGUAACGGCGAGUGAAGAGGGAAAAGCUCAAAUUUGAAAUCUGGCAGUCUUGCGGCUGUCCGAGUUGUAAUCUAGAGAAGUGUUUUCCGUGCUGGACCGUGUACAAGUCCUUUGGAACAAGGCGUCAUAGAGGGUGAGAAUCCCGUCUACGACACGGACUCCCAGUGCUCUGUGAUACACUCUCAACGAGUCGAGUUGUUUGGGAAUGCAGCUCAAAAUGGGUGGUAAAUUCCAUCUAAAGCUAAAUAUAGGCGAAAGACCGAUAGCGAACAAGUACCGUGAGGGAAAGAUGAAAAGCACUUUGGAAAGAGAGUUAAACAGUACGUGAAAUUGUUGAAAGGGAAACGCUUGAAGUCAGUCGCGUCUUCAGAAACUCAGCCUGGCUUUUGCCUGGUGUACUUUUCUGUUGGACGGGCCAGCAUCAGUUUCGGCCGCCAGAAAAAGGUGGGAGGAAGGUGGCACCCUCGGGUGUGUUAUAGCCUCUCAUCGUAUGUGGCGGCUGGGACUGAGGAAUGCAGCACGCCUUCAAUGGCCGGGGUUCGCCCACGUAACGUGCUUAGGAUGCUGGCGUAAUGGCUUUAAACGACCCGUCUUGAAACACGGACCAAGGAGUCUAACAUGCCUGCGAGUAUUUGGGUGGUAAACCCAUAUGCGGAAUGAAAGUGAACAGUUGGGACUUCUGUCAUGGAAGGCACCGACGCCCGGACCAGACCUACUGUGACGGAUCCGAGGUAGAGCAUGUAUGUUGGGACCCGAAAGAUGGUGAACUAUGCCUGAGUAGGGUGAAGCCAGAGGAAACUCUGGUGGAGGCUCGUAGCGAUUCUGACGUGCAAAUCGAUCGUCGAACUUGGGUAUAGGGGCGAAAGACUAAUCG
This 881-nucleotide ribosomal RNA is filed under the name Geastrum pectinatum. RNAcentral's name for it is "LSU rRNA". It matches the Rfam family "Eukaryotic large subunit ribosomal RNA", at positions 75 to 937 of the family's 3401-position model. The record is from RNAcentral. RNAcentral also lists the same sequence under 1 other name. Lineage: Eukaryota; Fungi; Basidiomycota; Agaricomycetes; Geastrales; Geastraceae.